This 492-nucleotide ribosomal RNA is filed under the name uncultured bacterium. RNAcentral's name for it is "partial 16S ribosomal RNA". It matches the Rfam family "Bacterial small subunit ribosomal RNA", at positions 29 to 507 of the family's 1533-position model. The record is from RNAcentral.
AGUGAACGCUGGCGGUAGGCCUAACACAUGCAAGUCGAACGGCAGCACAGUAAGAGCUUGCUCUUACGGGUGGCGAGUGGCGGACGGGUGAGGAAUACAUCGGAAUCUACUUUUUCGUGGGGGAUAACGUAGGGAAACUUACGCUAAUACCGCAUACGACCUACGGGUGAAAGCAGGGGAUCUUCGGACCUUGCGCGAUUGAAUGAGCCGAUGUCGGAUUAGCUAGUUGGCGGGGUAAAGGCCCACCAAGGCGACGAUCCGUAGCUGGUCUGAGAGGAGGAUCAGCCACACUGGAACUGAGCCACGGUCCAGACUCCUACGGGAGGCAGCAGUGGGGAAUAUUGGACAAUGGGCGCAAGCCUGAUCCAGCCAUACCGCGUGGGUGAAGAAGGCCUUCGGGUUGUAAAGCCCUUUUGUUGGGAAAGAAAAGCAGCAGGUUAAUACCCCGCUGUUCUGACGGUACCCAAAGAAUAAGCACCGGCUAACUUCGUG